This 268-nucleotide unclassified non-coding RNA is filed under the name Hevea brasiliensis (rubber tree). Lineage: Eukaryota; Viridiplantae; Streptophyta; Magnoliopsida; Malpighiales; Euphorbiaceae. The record is from RNAcentral.
GACACUAUUCGCCAUCCUUUGGAAGAAACUGAGGGUGGUGCCUGAAUUCAGGUCAGUUCAUUUCGCUAUGAAAUUGAUUGCUAGCAUAAAACGCCAUCGUUUUGACACUAGACGCCAUCCAUUGCAAUUUCGCGCAUAGGCAAGAACAGAGAUUCUCCUUGCCUUGACAGUGAAGCAGAAGACAUCCACCUAACGGUAAAAACAGAAUCAUAUAUGCUCGCUCUUUCUCUACCUAAUAAUUCAUCAGCUCCUCUCUCUCUCUCUCUCU